This 20874-nucleotide long non-coding RNA is filed under the name Vitis vinifera (wine grape). RNAcentral's name for it is "long non-coding RNA (VVIN_LNC004863)". The record is from RNAcentral. Lineage: Eukaryota; Viridiplantae; Streptophyta; Magnoliopsida; Vitales; Vitaceae.
UCUUUGAUUGCAGGUUUAGCUCUGCGCGAGAACUGGGAAAUUUAAUUGUGACCUCCAAUCUAAUCGACUCUGCUUUGACUAAAAUUCUUGAGCUUCAAAGAGACCAAACAGCCUUGCCUUCCCCCGUUCAAUACAGAGUUUUUUAUCCAUCUCCCAAGUGCACAAUUGUAGCUUUUGUCUCUUCACCUGACUGCACUCAAAACCCUCUUCCUGGACAAGGAGAUUUAGUUCCCUCUCCUCUCUUUGACUUCCUCUGCACCGAAGAAUACCCUUCCGUCUCCAUUAACGGAGCCGCAUUAACCCUCUUUACCUCUCUCUACGAUCAUCUCUCUGGACUAAUAGAUGAGGUCAAAAUCUGAUACUUGUUUUAAUUUACGUUAACUUUUCGUUAACAAUUGUGAGACACGAAACAGCUUGACCAUGAGAUCUCCCUCAUGGAGUCAAAACCCGUGUUGGUAUCUGUUUUUAGAUCAACUUAUAUAUAUAUAUAUAUAUAUAUAUAUAUAUCUUGUGGAUAAAAGGAAAGUUUACAAGUGAGAAUAGUGGCAUUUUUCUGACAGAUUUCACACCGUUGCUUGUUUUGCAGUUGACUGUGAUUGAAGGUCGAUUAAUCAUCACUGGGCACUCGAUGGGAGGAUCCGUUGCUUCUCUCUUCACCUUAUGCCUGCUAGAAGUCAUUAAUAUAUCAAAACCCAAAUGCCGCCCCAUUUGCAUCACCUUUGGUUCACCCCUCAUAGGCGACUUUGGCCUCCAACACUCCAAUUGGAAUUCUUUCUUCUUGCAUGUAGUGUCCAACCAAGAUCUAGUCCCCGGACUCUUCCUCCCAUCCGGCAGAUCUCCUCCCACAUCCUCCCAUUCACAAACUACUGGUUACAAGCCCUUUGGGACAUAUCUCUUGUGCUCUGAACUUGGUUGUGCUUGUUUUGACAACCCUGAUUUAAUUUUGGAAUUGCUGAAAGUCAUAUCAUCAGAGGUUGCCGGAGGAUUGCGGGAUGUUGAUUACAGGAAGAUUUUAAUAAACCUCAAGGAGAGGGCAAUCUUCAAGGGACUUCAGCAGGUGGGUGAAAGGUUUGCAGAUCCCUUGUCAGCUGGGAUCGUCAUGGACCUUGAGAUAAUUGGAUUUGAUCAAACAAAGGUAAACAGCUUUCUCCCAAUUAAUGAUGUAGUAUGGUUUACACUCAACUUCACCAAAACCUGCAACAACUGCCCUAUUUAGAUUUGCCUUCCUGUUCUUUGGGUUCUUCUAUAACUUCUCAUUUUUUAAAUUCAUGGCAGCUGUUGCGGCACAACAUUGAUAUCAACACUGUGAUAAGGAUACUGGGAGUGGAAGCCAGAAUCCUAGCCCACAAAAAUAAAGCUUCUGAUGCCAAGAAACUGAAUGACAUAAAAAUACACAUGGCCCAGCUAGAAUGGUAUAAGAAGAAAUCAAAAGAUCUGAACAAGGGUUACUACGACUGCUUCAAAAACCAGGGGUCAAAAAGGGACAUUAAAAUUGAACAGUAUAGGGGACACCUCACAAUAUACUGGAAAGACAUGGUUGCACAAGUACAGAGGAAGCCCCAGAAGGAAGGAGCAUCAUUUCGAACCAGUUGGCUCUAUCCAGGGACAACUUAUAGAAGAAUGGUUGAACCACUGGACAUUGCUGCCUUCUACAGAGAGGGUAGAACAGACUACAUAAACAAUGGAAGAUCUCCUCAUUACAAGCUGUUGCAGCAAUGGUAUGAGGAAGAUGUGAAGCCCCCAUCCAGAGAUAAGCUCGAUUCCAAGAAACUAAAGGUGUCUGGUAUCCUAACUGAGGAUUCUUUGUUUUGGGCACAUGUGGAGGAGGCUCUCUUGUCAUGCGAAUCGCUCAAGAGUGCAAACUCUACUCUUGAGCAGAGAAAAUCAUCAUGGGAUAAUCUGGUUAAGUUUGGGGAGUAUGUAAUGGAACAGAUUGGAAACUAUGCAGUGUCCCCUGAGAUUUUCUUGGGGGAAAGCAGCUUCAUGAAAUGGUGGGGAGUGUAUGAGGACUACAUAGAUGCUUCCAAUAAUUCCUAUGGGUCACCAUUGAUCAGCUUUAUGAAGAACCGUAGUUAUAGACUGUAUGGUUAGAGGGCAAUCCAGUUUGUGUAUUGUGUUUAUUGUAUUGUGAGCAUUCAAUAGAUAAAACUAGAAAGAGCGUGACCUUUUUAUGACAACUUUAGAAACCAGGGGUUAAAAGAGACAUUACAAACUGAAGUUUUUGAGAGGAAACCUCAAGAGUAUACUGGGAAGCCAUGGUGGAACAAGUAGAGAGGAAGCCUCAGAAGGAAGGAGCAAUGGUUGAACCACUUGACAUUGUUGCCUACUACAGGGAGGGUGUAAGAAACAACAUAACCGAGGGAAGAUCUGAACGUUAAACGUUGUCCAAUUAUUAUAAAUGUCUUAUACAUUACGUGUGAAAAUACCAAAAAAAAUUAUAUUCAACAUUUAUGUUUGUAUACAAGCAAUAUUUUGGAUAGUUUGAUAUAAAAAACAAAUGAAGAAAAUGAAGAAAAACAUACAAAUAUAUUUACAAUGGACAAACUUAUACAAUUAGUAUAAAUGUCUUGUAUAUUUAGUACAAAUGUCUCGUACUUUGUAAAAAUAUAAAAAUAUAGUAUUUGACUUUUAUAUAUGUGUGAAAAUGUAAAAAGAAAAAGAAAAAUAGUUAGAGCAUUUGGUACCGUGAGUGAUGACUUCACCUAAAGAAAGGUUAAUGAAUAUUAUGGUCUCGAUGGAAGAGCGACUCCGGUAAAAUAUAUGGAUUAAAUUGAUGCUUUUCUUUUGACGAUGAAGUAGUUGAGUUAUGAAUACGAGGUUUUGCUAACAGCAUUGAAGGCAAGGAUUCCCUAAUAUACUCCAAUUCAUAUUCAAUUUGUAGACCUUCAACUAACUACUCUUGCUAACGAGCAUAUCCAAGUCAAUACAUAAGAUUAAUUAAGAUUAAGUAUUACGUAUGAUAAUUGAAACCCUAUUUAAAUAAAUAAUGACACAUAUAUAAAAAAUAUAUAUAUUUUUAAAAAAAUAAAUAACAAUUUAGAGAAUUUCAUAACUUAGCAUCAAACCUAUUGUAAGAAAGAGUAUUAUACAAUGUAGGGUUUAGGAUCCAAGUCAACCUAAGAUCAAAUUUAAGUUUUAAGAUCAAUUCACAUUCAAAACUAAGGUUUUAAGUUUCAAAAAUAUAUUUCUUAAACCAAUUAAAUGGAAAAAAGAAAAUUACAAAGAAAAUUUCUCCCUCAUCAGUUUCUUUUAUCUUGAAAACUAAAGGAAAUAUAUAUCAAUAUUUGAGAUGGAAAUUCAUAAUCUUAGGUGGUGUUUGUUUUUUUGGCUUUUUGCUGAAAACUAUUUAGUUUUAGAAUUUAGGUUUUUUUUUUUUUUUACUUUUUCAUGACUUAUAAUAAACUUUUUACUAAAUAGAAAAAACCAAAAUAUGUGGUUUUUUCUAAAUAGAAAAAAUAACACAAUGGUUUUUUUUACUUUUUAAUACUUAAUAGAAAUAAAAUACUACAAAAACAAACAUCUUAAUAUUUAAUACUAUUAAGUAUUAAGGUUCUAUUUAGAAUUAAGUAAAAAAACAAACACCACCUUAGAAACACAAAGAACAAAGAGAGUAUGAAGAGACCAUACCAUGAGAGAUUUUCCGAAAGGUUGGUAAACCAUGGUAAUCACCUUUGAGUCUUGCUGAGAAAAACAAACCUUAUUUAUUUUUAUUUUUUUAUCAUUUUUUCUCUUGUGUGGUGUACAUUUAAGAAAAACAAAUCUCAAAAAAAAAAAAAAACACAAACCAAAUAAUGCCAGAAUUUGGGUUGAGAAACACCCAAAAGAUAGUGGCCCAAUACAUGUGCCUAAGAAAAUCUUCAUGAGCCGAUAAACAUAGUCACAAAACUAGUAACAGCCUUGUAGCCAUAGUUGGUGUAGUAUGAGCAAGUGGGGUAUGAAGUAGGUAGGUGAGUAUUGCAAUGAAAUUUCCAGCACUGCUUCCUGAAUUAAGAAAUCACAUACCCAAGUCUUAGUCGUCGUCGUCGUCGUACCGUGUGAGAACCGGGAAGAAUCUUUGCUCGUAGACUGGCUUUUGUAGUCUUUCUUUAACAAUUACAAGUUAUCUGAAUUCCCUUCAUCCUCCUAUAUAAUAUUGUUUUGGUCUUGUUCUUGUUGCAUUGUGGCUAGGCAUCUCCAUGGAAGGAAGGAGGAUGAAUCAAGUUCCUUUGUAUGAAUCAAUUUCUCUGCUCUUUUUUUUUUUCAAUCCUUGAAUCGAAUCAUUGCUUAGUUCUUGCUUUAAUUUCUCCAUUUUCUGUUGGGUCUUUGAUUGCAGGUUUAGCUCUGCAAGAGAACUGGGAAAUUUAAUUGUGACCUCCAAUCUAAUCGACUCUGCUUUGACUAAAAUUCUUGAGCUUCAAAGAGACCAAACAGCCUUGCUUUCCCCCGUUCAAUACAGAGUUUUUUUAUCCAUCUCCCAACUGCACAAUUGUAGCUUUUGUCUCUUCACCUGACUGCACUCAAAACCCUCUUCCUGGACAAGGAGAUUUAGUUCCCUCUCCUCUCUUUGACUUCCUCUGCACCGAAGAAUACAAGUCCGUCUCCAUUAACAGAGCUGCAUUAACCCUCUUUACCUCUCUCCACGAUCAUCUCUCUGGACUAAAAACUCAGGUCAAAAUAUGAUAGUUGUUUUUAUUUUCGUUUCCUUUUUGUUAACAAUUGUGAGACAUGAAACAGCUUGACCAUGAGAUCUCUCUCAUAGAGUCAAACUACCUGAAGAAGAAGAAGACGUUACACAUAUCCAUCUGCGUUGCAUCAUCGCAUUACCCAUUGAUCGGUUGUGAUUCAACUCUUAAUAGGAAGACAGUAGAACUGGUGUUGGUAUCUGUUUUUAGAUCAGCUUAUAUGUAUCUUGUUGCUAAAAAGGGAAUGUUUAGAAGUGAGAUUAAUGGGAUUAUUCUGACAUGGAUUUCAUAUGGUUACCUGUUUUGCAGUUGACUGUGAUUGAAGGUCAAUUAAUCAUCACUGGGCACUCCCUGGGAGGAGCCGUUGCUUCUCUCUUCACCUUAUGCCUGCUAGAUGAAAAUUUAUUAAAACCCAAAUGCCGCCCCUUUUGUAUCACCUUUGGUUCACCCCUCGUCGGCGGCUUUGGCCUCCAACACUCCAUAUGGAAUUCUUUCUUCCUGCAUGUAGUGUCUAACCAAGACCCAGUCCCCGGUCUCUUCCUCCCAUCUGGCAGAGGCAGAUCUACGCCCACAUCCUCCCAUUCACAAACUACCGGUUACAAGCCCUUUGGGACAUAUCUCUUGUGCUCUGAACUUGGUUGUGCUUGUUUUGACAACCCUGAUUUAAUUUUGGAAUUGCUGAAAGUCAUAUCAUCAGAGGUUGCCGGAGGAUUGCAGGAUGUUGAUUAUGGGGAGAUUUUAAGAAACCUCAAGGAGAGGGCAAUCUGCAAGGGACUUCCGCAGGUGGGUGAAAGGUUUGCAAAUCCAUUUUCAGCUGGGAUCAUCAUGGAACUUGAGACAAUUGGAUUUAAUCAAACAAAGGUAAACAGCUUUCUCCCAUCUAAUGAUGUUAUGGAACAUGGUUUACACCUCAUUAAAUACUGCAACAACUGCCCUAUUUAGAUUUACCUUCUUGUUCUUUGGGAUUUUCCAUAACUAGACUCAUUUUUUAAUUUCAUGGCAGCUGCUGCAGCAUAACAUUGAUAUCGAGACUGUGAUAAGCGCAAUGGAAGCGGAAGCAAGAAACCUAACCCAGAAAAAUAAAGCUUCCGAUGCCAAGAAACUGAAUGAAAUAAAAAUAGACAUGACCCGGCUAGAAUUGUAUAAGAAGAAUUCGAACAUGGGUUACUACGAUUGCUUCAAAAACCAGGGGUCUAAAAGGGACAUCCACGUUGAACAGUUUAGGGUAAACCUCACAGGGUACUGGGAAGGCAUGGUUGCACAAAUACAGAGGAAGCCUCAUAAGGAAGGAGCAACAUUUCGAACCCGUUGGCUCUAUGCAGGGACGGUUUAUAGAAGAAUGGUUGAACCACUGGACAUUGCUGCCUUCUACAGAGAGGGUAGAAAAGACUACAUGAAUAAAAGAUCUGCACAUUACAAGCUGUUGCAGGAAUGGUAUGAGGAAGAUGUGAAACCCCCCUCUAGAGAUAAGCUUGAUUCCAAGAAGCAAAAGGUGUCCAGUAUCCUAACUGAGGAUUCUUGCUUUUGGGCACAUGUGGAGGAGGCUAUCUUGUCAUGCGAAUUGCUCAAGAGUGAAAACUGUAAUCUUGAGGAGGGAAAAUCAUCAUGGGAUAAUCUGGUUAAGUUCGAGGAGUAUGUAAUGGAACAGAUUGACAACUAUGCAGUGUCCCCUGAGAUUUUCUUGGAGAAAAGCAGCUUCAUGAAAUGGAGGGGACUGUAUGAGGGCUACAUAGAUACUCGCAGUAAUUCCCAUAGCUCGCCAUUGAUCAGCUUUAUGAAGAAUCGUAGUUAUAGACAAUAUGGAUAGAGGGGUAAUCCAGUUUGUGUGUUGUGUGUAUUGUUUUGUGAGCAUUCAAUGGAUAGAACUAGAAAGAGUGUGACCUUUUCCUUUUUUUUUUCAGUUGCUGCCCAUAUUCUCAGCACUAUUUUCUUCCUUCUUUUCCUCAGUUUUUUUGUUAAGAAAUGAAUAUUAUGAUGUUGCCGGGAUGCACUUUCAUUUUUGUUCCAUUACAUUGUGUUUUAUUCAUAUCCUAAACAAAUAAAUGUAAACAAGAAAAUCAAAUGAGACUUCAAAGAGUCUGUUCCUUUUAAAGCAAGGGAAAAAAAGGACAUGUUUGUUUACUUCCACAGCUGGGUAGAUUCAACUCCACCAAAAUUGGCAACAACUUCCCAUUGAAAAAUUCCUUUUAAGCUUGAAUGACAUAAAACUAGAUAUGUUCCAGCUAGAAUGGUACAAGAAAGAAAUCAAAAGAUGAGCACAAUGGGUUAUUAUGACAGCUUUAGAAACCUGGGGUGUAAAAGAGACAUUAAAAUGGAACCGAGGGGAAGACAUUGUAGAACAAGUAAAGAGGAAGCCUCACCAGGAAGGGCAGCUUUGCAAACCCUCUGGCUCUGUACAGGAACGAAUUAUAGAAAGAUGGUUGAACCACUUGACAUUGCUGCCUACCACAGAGAGGGUGGAAGAAACUACAUAACCAAUGGAGGAUGUAAACAUUACACGCUAUUAGAGCAAUGAUGCAAUGAAGAGAAGGGGACUUUGUCUUCCAAUAAUUUAAGAAAAUAAAACCAAAUAAUGCCAGAAUUUGGGUUGAGAAACACCCAAAAGAUAGUGGCCCAAUAUGAAGUAGUCACAAAACUAGUAACAGCCUUGUGGCCAUAGUUGGUGUAGUAUGAGCAAGUGGGGUAUGAAGUAGGUAGGUGAGUAUUGCAAUGAAAUUUCCAGCACUGCUUCCUGAAUUAAGAAAUCACAUACUCAAGUCUUAAUCGUUGUCAUCAUACCGUGUGAGAACCGAGGAAGAAUCUUUGCUCUUAGACUGGAUUUUGUAGUCUUUCUUUAACAAUUACAAGUUAUCUGAAUUCCCUUCAUCCUCCUAUAUAAUAUUGUUUUUGGUCUUGUUCUUGUUGCAUUGUGGCUAGGCAUCUCCAUGGGAGGAAGGAGGAUGAAUCAAGUUCCUUUGUAUGAAUCAAUUUCUCUGCUCUUUUUUUUUUCAAUCCUUGAAUCGAAUCAUUGCUUAGUUCUUGCUUUAAUUUCUCCAUUUUCUGUUGGGUCUUUGAUUGCAGGUUUAGCUCUGCAAGAAAACUGGGAAAUUUAAUUGUGACCUCCAAUCUAAUCGACUCUGCUUUGACUAAAAUUCUUGAGCUUCAAAGAGACCAAACAGCCUUGCCUUCCCCCGUUCAAUACAGAGUUUUUUAUCCAUCUCCCAACUGCACAAUUGUAGCUUUUGUCUCUUCACCUGACUGCACUCAAAACCCUCUUCCUGGACAAGGAGAUUUAGUUCCCUCUCCUCUCUUUGACUUCCUCUGCACCGAAGAAUACAAGUCCGUCUCCAUUAACAGAGCUGCAUUAACCCUCUUUACCUCUCUCCACGAUCAUCUCUCUGGACUAAAAACUCAGGUCAAAAUAUGAUAGUUGUUUUUAUUUUCGUUUCCUUUUUGUUAACAAUUGGGAGACAUGAAACAGCUUGACCAUGAGAUCUCUCUCAUAGAGUCAAACUACCUGAAGAAGAAGAAGACGUUACACAUAUCCAUCUGCGCUGCAUCAUCGCAUUACCCAUUGAUCGGUUGUGAUUCAACUCUUAAUAGGAAGACAGUAGAACUGGUGUUGGUAUCUGUUUUUAGAUCAGCUUAUAUGUAUCUUGUUGCUAAAAAGGGAAUGUUUAGAAGUGAGAUUAAUGGGAUUAUUCUGACAUGGAUUUCAUAUGGUUACCUGUUUUGCAGUUGACUGUGAUUGAAGGUCGAUUAAUCAUUACUGGGUACUCGAUGGGAGGAUCCGUUGCUUCUCUCUUCACCUUAUGCCUGUUAGAAGUCAUCAAUUUAUCAAAACCCAAAUGCCGCCCCAUUUGUAUCACCUUUGGUUCACCCCUCAUAGGCGACUUUGGCCUCCAACACUCCAAUUGGAAUUCUUUCUUCUUGCAUGUAGUGUCCAACCAAGAUCUAGUCCCCGGACUCUUCCUCCCAUCCGACAGAUCUCCUCCCACAUCCUCCCAUUCACAAACUACUGGUUACAAGCCCUUUGGGACAUAUCUCUUGUGCUCUGAACUUGGUUGUGCUUGUUUUGACAACUCUGAUUUAAUUUUGGAAUUGCUGAAAGUCAUAUCAUCAGAGGUUGCCAGAGGAUUGCGGGAUGUUGAUUACAGGAAGAUUUUAAGAAACCUCAAGGAGAGGGCAAUCUGCAAGGGACUUCCGCAGGUGGGUGAAAGGUUUGCAAAUCCAUUUUCAGCUGGGAUCAUCAUGGAACUUGAGACGAUUGGAUUUAAUGAAACAAAGGUAAACAGCUUUCUCCCAUCUACUGAUGUUAUGGAACAUGGUUUACACAUCAUUAAAUACUGCAACAACUGCCCUAUUUAGAUUUAGGGCAAUGAUGAAAAUAUCAGUAAUCACGGAUAUAUCAGUAUUUCGAUUUUACGGAUAUAUCGGAUAUAUCGGAGAUAUAUCGGUAGAUAUUUUGAAAAAAAAUAUCGGCAAGCUUAAAAUUGUUAAAAACUCAUGAAAAUAUAAGAAAAUCUCAUAAUAAUAUAAUUAAAAGUAUAAUAGACAUUUUAAAGUUAUUUUAUUGAAAAUUUUGAUAUAUGUAUAACAUGAUUUAUCAUAUUUGAUAAUAAUAUCGUAUGCGUCGAUAAAAAUAUGAAUUUUAUAAGUGUACAUUUAUUAUUAAAUUACACCUAAUAUUAUGAUAUCUGAUUAUAAUAUGUCUAAUUUUAAAAUAUAUAUUAGUAUUAAAAUAUGAUCCAUUUAAUUCAAUUGUAUUAAACAAUAUAAAAUAAAUAAUGAUAUAUAUAUAUAUAUAUAUAAUUUUUUAAUAUUUAAUUAAUUAUUAAUGAUAUUAAAAACAUUAUGAAGAAAAUUAUAUAAUUUUUUAAUUUUUGGUAAUUAAUUAAAAGACUUUGCAUUUAAUUAUAAAUUAAUUAUAAUUAAUUUACUCUUUAAAAUAUUCUUAUAUUUUCUUUAUAUAAUGAAUUUAAGUAUAUAUAUAGUUGUUGCAUAUUAUAUAUUAAAGGACAACUUAGCCCAAGUGGUAAGCGAGUGAACCCCAAUGUGAGGCAUUGUAGCACGUGCACUGUAGCAUCACUGUAGCGACUCUGACUUUCGUUGACCCGCAUUGACUACACGAUAUAUCGGAGAAAAAUCACUGAUUUAUCGCCAAAUCACCAAUAAAUCGCCGAUUUCUCGCGAUAAAUACCAAAAUAUAGUGUCGAAACCCUUCGAUACACGAUUUUUCGGCGCAUUUUCUUACUUGGAUUUACCUUUUUGUUCUUUGGGAUCUUCCAUGACUCAUUUUUUAAUGCCAUUUUAUUUUCCUUUUUGUUUCUAAAUUUUUAAAAAAUCGUUUUCACUUCUUUUUUUUAAGAAAAUUUUGGCAAAUUUUGAAAAUAUAAUAUUAGUGUUUUCACUUCUUUCUUUUUUUUUUUUUUCUUUUUUUUUUUAAACUCAAUUUUCUAAAAAAUGAAAAUAGAAAAACAUUGUCUAAACAUGUUUGUAAACUUAAUUUUAUUUUUUUAUAAAUGAAAAAAAAAAUCUAAAUGAGUAAGGCUUUAUUAAUUUUAAUUUUUUUCUUUUCCUUAUAUUUUCUUAUUUUAUUCCAAAUUUUCUUGCAACCAAACAUAAUCUAAAUGUUUACAACUUUUAUUGUAAGGAAUGAAUGACACUACUUUGUGAACUUUUAUGAUAAUAUUUUGAAUCAUAAAUUGUGUUUUUUUUAGUAAUAUCAAUUUUAUUACCAAUGACUUAAUUGUUAAUAACAAAAUAUAAUAUUUAUAAAUAUUUUUAUUCUCAACAGGCUACAAUUUUUACUCUUGUGAUAAAAAAAAUUUUGUCAUAAAUUACACAUUAUGAUGAGUUUUUCUAUUUUCCUUAUCAGCCAAUUCAACAAAUAUCAUAUAUAUUGUAAUGGCUAACAAAUUUUCACAUAAAUUUUUUAUAAGAUAAAGUAGAAUGGAAUUAUUCAAUUUCAAAAAAAAAAAAAAUGGUACCUAAUGAAAAAGAUAAAAUAUAUAGAUCAUCUCGAAGAAAUCAGGAAAGAUAAAUGAUGAGACCAUAUAUAGGACCCUUGAUGGAGACUAUUUUAAUUGAAGUGGUGUGCUCCUUCCGACUCAGAACAUGUUCAGCAUUGCACACAAACUAACAUCGUCGAUCUUGAGUAUGAAAAAGGUGAUUAGAUUCCAAGGUUGUCGUUUGUCCCAACUCCUCAUAUUAGAGGUGAUGCUCAAGCUAACGUGCCUCGCAGUUGAGCCCCGGCCAAUCGGUCUAAUAUGCUUUUCCAAUGGUGAGUUUCACUGCCACCAUGUAUUACAUUAAUUCCGAUAGCGCACAAGUUGUGUUUGUGCUAUUGCUUUUUGCCCUCACAAACAUAUACACAAGAGACAUUCAGACCAGAUCUGUUCUACCAUCCUCUAGGAAAGCAUUGUAGGUCAUUUGAAAUUGGGAUUUCAGCACCAGAGUCAAAUUGCCUUCCUUCCUGAAAGAUGAGCAUUUUUUAUACUCUUACAUCGGCUUUUAUGGAAAUGAAAUCAGCUUCUCAUUCUGUUACAUUUUUCAAUUUUGCUGCCUAUAACUGCUCACUGCCUGUUUGUGAGACAUUAUCCAGAUUUUCCCUGAUCAAUUAUAGAGAGGUCAUUGGACUCAUCCAUGAUUGGAAUUUCCUGUUAUCAUUAUUUGCAAAUCAUCAACCAUUUGUCAUGAUAUCUUAAGUUAAGCUGAGCACGAAUUUCAGCUAAGAUCCUCAGAACUAGAAAUAUGCACUGCAGGUAUUACUUGAUAUGUGAAUAUCCAAUACAAUAUUUUUUUACUAAGAGGAAUACGAAUUUGAAACACUUUCCAAUAAUUUAUCAAGUCAUAUUUUCGUGCUGUCGUGAUACAUGUGUCUACUGUAUGCAUGGCUUUUCUUUUCUACACAUGCCUUUAUCUUUGCACAUGACUCUUUUGAUACACGCCAGCAUCAAGGCAAUUGCCUAAAUCUAAAUCACAUCCUUUGUGUCACGUCUUCCUUGUUACCACGGUCCUCUUGUACACCAUGGUCCCUUAAUGUAACUUGUGCCACAAGCCCUUUGUGCAUGAAUUCAAAUUGUUCAAUCAUUUCGCCAUUUACACCUUUUAAGGUCCAAUAAGCGUAUACAAGAGACUACACUCAUUCUAGAUGAUAAAGUACAUUCAACUAACUACUCUUGCUAAUGAGCAUAUCCAAGUCAAUACAUAAGAUUAAUUAUUACAUAUGGUAAUUGAAACCCUGUUUAAAUAAAUAGUGACACAAAUAUAAAAAAUAUAUAUAUUUAAAAAUAAAUAAAUAACAAUUUAGAGAAUUUCAUAACUUAGUAUCAAACCUAUUGUAGGAAAGAGUAUUAUACAAUGUAGGGUUUAGGAUCAAAGUUAACCUAAGAUCAAUUUUAAGUUUUAAGACCAAUUCAAAUUCAAAACUAAGGUUUUAAGUUUCAAAAAUAUAUCUCUUAAACCAAUUAAAUAGAAAAAAGAAAAUUACAAAGAAAAUUUCUUCCUCAUCGGUUUCUUUUAUCUUGAAAACUAAAGGAAAUAUAUAUCAAUAUUUGAGAUGGAAAUUCAUAAUCUUAGAAACACAAAGAACAAAGAGAGUAUGAAGAGACCAUACCAUGAGAGAUUUUCCAAAAGGUUGGUAAACCAUGGUAAUCACCUUUGAGUUUUGCUGAGAAAAACAAACCUUAAUUUUUAUUUUUAUUUUUUUAUCAUUUUUUCUCUUGUGGUGUACAUUUAAGAAAAACAAAUCUUAAAAAAAAAAAAAAAAAAACCAAAUAAUGCCAGAAUUUGGGUUGAGAAACACCCAAAAGAUAGUGGCCCAAUACAUGUGCCUAAGAAAAUCUUCAUGAGCCGAUAAACAUAGUCACAAAACUAGUAACAGCCUUGUAGCCAUAGUUGGUGUAGUAUGAGCAAGUGGGGUAUGAAGUAGGUAGGUGAGUAUUGCAAUGAAAUUUCCAGCACUGCUUCCUGAAUUAAGAAAUCACAUACCCAAGUCUUAGUCGUCGUCGUCGUACCGUGUGAGAACCGGGAAGAAUCUUUGCUCGUAGAGUGGCUUUUGUAGUCUUUCUUUAACAAUUACAAGUUAUCUGAAUUCCCUUCAUCCUCCUAUAUAAUAUUGUUUUUGGUCUUGUUCUUGUUGCAUUGUGGCUAGGCAUCUCCAUGGAAGGAAGGAGGAUGAAUCAAGUUCCUUUGUAUGAAUCAAUUUCUCUGCUCUUUUUCUUUUCAAUCCGUGAAUCGAAUCAUUGCUUAGUUCUUGCUUUAAUUUCUCCAUUUUCUGUUGGGUCUUUGACUGCAGGUUUAGCUCUGCAAGAGAACUGGGAAAUUUAAUGGUGACCUCCAAUCUAAUCGACUCUGCUUUGACUAAAAUUCUUGAGCUUCAAAGAGACCAAACAGCCUUGCUUUCCUCCGUUCAAUACAGAGUUUUUUAUCCAUCUCCCAAGUGCACAAUUGUAGCUUUUGUCUCUUCACCUGACUGCACUCAAAACCCUCUUCCUGGACAAGGAGAUUUAGUUCCGUCUCCUCUCUUUGACUUCCUCUGCACCGAAGAAUACAAGUCCGUCUCCAUUAACAGAGCUGCAUUAACCCUCUUUACCUCUUUCCACGAUCAUCUCUCUGGACUAAAAACUCAGGUCAAAAUAUGAUAGUUGUUUUUAUUUUCGUUUCCUUUUUGUUAACAAUUGUGAGACAUGAAACAGCUUGACCAUGAGAUCUCUCUCAUAGAGUCAAACUACCUGAAGAAGAAGAAGACGUUACACAUAUCCAUCUGCGUUGCAUCAUCGCAUUACCCAUUGAUCGGUUGUGAUUCAACUCUUAAUAGGAAGACAGUAGAACUGGUGUUGGUAUCUGUUUUUAGAUCAGCUUAUAUGUAUCUUGUUUCUAAAAAAGGUAAGUUUAGAAGUGAGAUUAAUGGGAUUAUUCUGACAUGGAUUCCAUAUGGUUACCUGUUUUGCAGUUGACUCAGAUUGAAGGUCAAUUAAUCAUCACUGGGCACUCCCUGGGAGGAUCCGUUGCUUCUCUCUUCACCUUAUGCCUGCUAGAUGGAAAUUUAUUAAAACCCAACUGCCGCCCCUUUUGUAUCACCUUUGGUUCACCCCUCAUCGGCGGCUUUGGCCUCCAACACUCCAUAUGGAAUUCUUUCUUCCUGCAUGUAGUGUCUAACCAAGACCCAGUCCCCGGUCUCUUCCUCCCAUCUGGCAGAGGCAGAUCUACGCCCACAUCCUCCCAUUCACAAACUACCGGUUACAAGCCCUUUGGGACAUAUCUCUUGUGCUCUGAACUUGGUUGUGCUUGUUUGGAAAAGCCUGAUUUAAUUUUGGGAUUGCUGAAAGUCAGAUCAUCCGAGGUUGCCGGAGGAUUGCAGGAUGUUGAUUAUGGGGAGAUUUUAAGAAACCUCAAGGAGAGGGCAAUCUGCAAGGGACUUCAGCAGGUGGGUGAAAGGUUUGCAGAUCCUUUUACAGCUGGGAUCAUCAUGGACCUUGAGAUAAUUGGAUUUGAUCAAACAAAGGUAAACAGCUAGCUUUCUCCCAUCUAAUGAUGUUAUGAAACAUGGUUUACACUUCACCAAAUACUGCAACAACUGCCCUAUUUAGAUUUGCCGUCUUGUUCUUUGGGAUCUUCCAUAACUAGACUCAUUUUUUAAUUUCAUGGCAGCUGCUGCAGCAUAACAUUGAUAUCGAGACUGUGAUAAGCACAAUGGAAGAGGAAGCCAGAAACCCAACCAAAAAAAAUAAAGCUUUCGAUGCCAAGAUUCUGAAUCACAAAAAAAAAGACAUGGCCGGGCUAGAAUGGUAUAAGAAGAAAUCAAAAGAUCUGAACAAGGGUUACUACGACUGCUUCAAAAACCAGGGGUCAAAAAGGGACAUUAAAAUUGAACAGUAUGGGGGACACCUCACAUUAUACUGGAAAGACAUGGUUGCACAAGUACAGAGGAAGCCCCAGAAGGAAGGAGCAACAUUUCGAACCCGUUGGCUCUAUGCAGGGACGGUUUAUAGAAGAAUGGUUGAACCACUGGACAUUGCUGCCUUCUACGUAGAGGGUGGAACAGACUACAUGAAGAAUGAAAGAUCUCUUCAUUACAAGCUGUUGCAGCAAUGGUAUGAGGAAGAUGUGAAACCCCCCUCUAAGGAUAAGCUUGAUUCCAAGAAGCAAAAGGUGUCUGGUAUCCUAACUGAGGAUUCUUGCUUUUGGGCACAUGUGGAGGAGGCUAUCUUGUCAUGCGAAUUGCUUAAGAGUGAAAACUGUACUCUUGAGCAGGAAAAAUCAUCAUGGGAUAAUCUGGUUAAGUUCGAGGAGUAUGUAAUGGAACAGAUUAACAACUAUGCAGUGUCCCCUGAGAUUUUCUUGGGGGAAAGCAGCUUCAUGAAAUGGUGGGGACUGUAUGAGGGCUACAUAUAUGCUCGCAGUAAUUCCCAUAGGUCACCAUUGAUCAGCUUUAUGAAGAACGGUAGUUAUACAGAGUAUCGUUAGAGGGGUAAUCCAGUUUGUGUGUUGUGUGUAUUGUUUUGUGAGCAUUCAAUGGAUAGAACUAGAAAGAGUGUGACCUUUUUCCUUUUUUUCUUCUAGUUGCUGCCCAUAUUCUCAGCACUAUUUUCUUCCUUCUUUUCCUCAGUUUUUUCUUAAGAAAUGAAUAUUAUGAUGUUGCUGGGAUGCACUUUCAUUUUUGUUCCAUUACAUUGUGUUUUAUUCAUAUCCUAAACAAAUAAAUGUAAACAAGAAAAUCAAAUAAGACUUCAAAGAGUCUGUUCCUUUUAAAGCAAGGGAAAAAAAGGACAUGUUUGUUUACUUCCACAGCUGGGUAGAUUCAACUCCACCAAAAUUGGCAACAACUUCCCAUUGAAAAAUUCCUUCUAAGCUUGAAUGACAUAAAACUAGAUAUGUUCCAGCUAGAAUGGUACAAAAAAGAAAUCAAAAGAUGAGCACAAUGGGUUAUUAUGACAGCUUUAGAAACCAUCUUACAACACAUCCAUCAGAAUUUAGACUAUUCAUAGAAACAUUCUUAACAUGUAAAUCUACUAUUGCCAUGCACGUCAACAUAGAAUUUCUAAAAUGAUUGAAUAAAAUAAAUAAAACAAAAGAAACCCUUCCAAGAGAAUUUCAUAAUCUAAUGUCAAAUCUAUUACGAAGAUGAACAUGUAAAAUUUAAGGUUUAUAAUCAAAGUCGACUUGAAUCUGAGUUUUAAAACCAAUUUGCAGUUUUUAAGUUUGGAGACUAGAUCUCUUAAACCAAUUAAAUGUAAAAAACUAAAAAGAAAACUUCUUCAAAUUUUGAAAUGAGAAUGAGAAUGCAAUUCCUAACUAGUUUCUUCAUCAAAAAUCCCGAAAAAAAAAAAAAAAGAAGAGAGAGAGAGACCAUAGACGCCAGUGUUUGGGUUUAGAACCACCCAAGAGAGAGUAGUCCAAUAUAUGGGCUUAAGAAAAUCCUCAUGGGCCUAAGCUAAGACUAGGAACAAUCUUGUAUCCGUGGUUGGUUUAGUAUGAGCAUGUGUACUGCGAAGGAAGUAGCUGAGAAUUGCAAUGGAAUUUCCAGUACUGCUUCCUGAACGAACAAAUCGCAUACCCAAGAUUUGGUCGUCAACGCCAUGCUGGGUGAGAACCGGGGAAGCAUCUUCGCUCGUUGACGAGCUUUUGUAGUCCUUCUUUAACAAUUAUAAGGCAUCUGAAUUCCCUUCAUCCUCCCACACCAUUGUUUUUGGUCUUGUUCUUGUUGCUUUGUGACUACGCAUCUCCAUGGAAGGAAGGAGGAUGAACCAAGUUCCUUUGUAUGCAUCAAUUUUACUGUUUUUUUUUUCCUUUUUAAUCUUUGGAUCGAAUCAUUGCUUAGUUCUUGCUUAAUUUCUCCAUUUUAUGUUGGGUCUUUGAUUGCAGGUUUAGCUCUGCGCGAGAACUGGGAAAUUUAAUUGUGACCUCCAAUCUAAUCGACUCUGCUUUGACUAAAAUUCUUGAGCUUCAAAGAGACCAAACAGCCUUGCCUUCCCCCGUUCAAUACAGAGUUUUUUAUCCAUCUCCCAAGUGCACAAUUGUAGCUUUUGUCUCUUCACCUGACUGCACUCAAAACCCUCUUCCUGGACAAGGAGAUUUAGUUCCCUCUCCUCUCUUUGACUUCCUCUGCACCGAAGAAUACCCUUCCGUCUCCAUUAACGGAGCCGCAUUAACCCUCUUUACCUCUCUCUACGAUCAUCUCUCUGGACUAAUAGAUGAGGUCAAAAUCUGAUACUUGUUUUAAUUUACGUUAACUUUUCGUUAACAAUUGUGAGACACGUAUAUAUAUAUAUAUAUAUAUAUAUCUUGUGGAUAAAAGGAAAGUUUACAAGUGAGAAUAGUGGCAUUUUUCUGACAGAUUUCACACCGUUGCUUGUUUUGCACUUGACUGUGAUUGAAGGUCGAUUAAUCAUCACUGGGCACUCGAUGGGAGGAUCCGUUGCUUCUCUCUUCACCUUAUGCCUGCUAGAAGUCAUUAAUAUAUCAAAACCCAAAUGCCGCCCCAUUUGCAUCACAUUUGGUUCACCCCUCAUAGGCGACUUUGGCUUCCAACACUCCAAUUGGAAUUCUUUCUUCUUGCAUGUAGUGUCCAACCAAGAUCUAGUCCCCGGACUCUUCCUCCCAUCCGGCAGAUCUCCUCCCACAUCCUCCCAUUCACAAACUACUGGUUACAAGCCCUUUGGGACAUAUCUCUUGUGCUCUGAACUUGGUUGUGCUUGUUUUGACAACCCUGAUUUAAUUUUGGAAUUGCUGAAAGUCAUAUCAUCAGAGGUUGCCGGAGGAUUGCGGGAUGUUGAUUACAGGAAGAUUUUAAUAAACCUCAAGGAGAGGGCAAUCUUCAAGGGACUUCAGCAGGUGGGUGAAAGGUUUGCAGAUCCCUUGUCAGCUGGGAUCAUCAUGGACCUUGAGAUAAUUGGAUUUGAUCAAACAAAGGUAAACAGCUUUCUCCCAAUUAAUGAUGUAGCAUGGUUUACACUCAACUUCACCAAAACCUGCAACAACUGCCCUAUUUAGAUUUGCCUUCCGGUUCUUUGGGUUCUUCUAUAACUUCUCAUUUUUUAAAUCCAUGGCAGCUGUUGCGGCACAACAUUGAUAUCAACACUGUGAUAAGGAUACUGGGAGCGGAAGCCAGAAUCCUAGCCCACAAAAAUAAAGCUUCUGAUGCCAAGAAACUGAAUGACAUAAAAAUACACAUGGCCCAGCUAGAAUGGUAUAAGAAGAAAUCAAAAGAUCUGAACAAGGGUUACUACGACUGCUUCAAAAACCAGGGGUUAAAAAGGGACAUUAAAAUUGAACAGUAUAGGGGACACCUCACAAUAUACUGGAAAGACAUGGUUGCACAAGUACAGAGGAAGCCCCAGAAGGAAGGAGCAUCAUUUCGAACCAGUUGGCUCUAUCCAGGGACAACUUAUAGAAGAAUGGUUGAACCACUGGACAUUGCUGCCUUCUACAGAGAGGGUAGAACAGACUACAUAAACAAUGGAAGAUCUCCUCAUUACAAGCUGUUGCAGCAAUGGUAUGAGGAAGAUGUGAAGCCCCCAUCCAGAGAUAAGCUCGAUUCCAAGAAACUAAAGGUGUCUGGUAUCCUAACUGAGGAUUCUUUGUUUUGGGCACAUGUGGAGGAGGCUCUCUUGUCAUGCGAAUCGCUCAAGAGUGCAAACUCUACUCUUGAGCAGAGAAAAUCAUCAUGGGAUAAUCUGGUUAAGUUUGGGGAGUAUGUAAUGGAACAGAUUGGAAACUAUGCAGUGUCCCCUGAGAUUUUCUUGGGGGAAAGCAGCUUCAUGAAAUGGUGGGGAGUGUAUGAGGACUACAUAGAUGCUUCCAAUAAUUUCUAUGGGUCACCAUUGAUCAACUUUAUGAAGGACCGUAGUUAUAGACUGUAUGGUUAGAGGGCAAUCCAGUUUGUGUAUUGUGUUUAUUGUAUUGUGAGCAUUCAAUAGAUAAAACUAGAAAGAGCGUGACCUUUUUAUGACAACUUUAGAAACCAGGGGUUAAAAGAGACAUUACAAAUUGAAUUUUUUGAGAGGAAACCUCAAGAGUAUACUGGGAAGCCAUGGUGGAACAAGUAGAGAGGAAGCUUCGGAAGGAAGGAUCAAUGGUUGAACCACUUGACAUUGUUGCCUACUUCAGGGAGGGUGUAAGAAACAACAUAACCGAGGGAAGAUCUGAACAUUAAACAUUGUACAAUUAUUGUAAAUGUCUUAUACAUUACGUGUGAAAAUACCAAAAAAAAUUAUAUUCAACAUUUAUGUUUGUAUACAAGCAAUAUUUUGGAUAGUUUGAUAUAAAAAACAAAUGAAGAAAACGAAGAAAAACAUACAAAUAUAUUUACAAUGGACAAACUUAUACAAUUAGUGUAAAUGUCUUGUAUAUUUAGUACAAAAGUCUCGUACUUUGUAAAAAUAUAAAAAUAUAGUAUUUGACUUUUAUAUAUGUGUGAAAAUGUAAAAGGAAAAAGAAAAAUAGUUAGAGCAUUUGGUACCGUGAGUGAUGACUUCACCUAAAGAAAGGUUAAUGAAUAUUAUGGUCUCGAUGGAAGAGCGACUCCGGUAAAAUAUAUGGAUUAAAUUGAUGCUUUUCUUUUGACGAUGAAGUAGUUGAGUUAUGAAUACGAGGUUUUGCUAACAACAUUGAAGGCAAGGAUUCCCUAAUAUACUCCAAUUCAUAUUCAAUUUGUAGACCUUCAACUAACUACUCUUGCUAAUGAGCAUAUCCAAGUGAAUACAUAAGAUUAAUUAUUACAUAUGAUAAUUGAAACCCUGUUUAAAUAAAUAGUGACACAAAUAUAAAAAAUAUAUAUAUUUAAAAAUAAAUAAAUAAUAAUUUAGAGAAUUUCAUAACUUAGCAUCAAACCUAUUGUAGGAAAGAGUAUUAUACAAUGUAGGGUUUAGGAUCAAAGUUAACCUAAGAUCAAAUUUAAGUCUUAAGACCAAUUCACAUUCAAAACUAAGGUUUUAAAUUUCAAAAAUAUAUCUCUUAAACCAAUUAAAUGGAAAAAAGAAAAUUACAAAGAAAAUUUCUUCCUCAUCGGUUUCUUUUAUCUUGAAAACUAAAGGAAAUAUAUAUCAAUAUUUGAGAUGGAAAUUCAUAAUCUUAGAAACACAAAGAACAAAGAGAGUAUGAAGAGACCAUACCAUGAGAGAUUUUCCAAAAGGUUGGUAAACCAUGGUAAUCACCUUUGAGUUUUGCUGAGAAAAACAAACCUUAAUUUUUAUUUUUAUUUUUUUAUCAUUUUUUCUCUUGUGGUGUACAUUUAAGAAAAACAAAUCUUAAAAAAAAAAAAAAAAAAACCAAAUAAUGCCAGAAUUUGGGUUGAGAAACACCCAAAAGAUAGUGGCCCAAUACAUGUGCCUAAGAAAAUCUUCAUGAGCCGAUAAACAUAGUCACAAAACUAGGAACAGCCUUGUAGCCAUAGUUGGUGUAGUAUGAGCAAGUGGGGUAUGAAGUAGGUAGGUGAGUAUUGCAAUGAAAUUUCCAGCACUGCUUCCUGAAUUAAGAAAUCACAUACUCAAGUCUUAAUCGUUGUCAUCAUACCGUGUGAGAACCGAGGAAGAAUCUUUGCUCUUAGACUGGAUUUUGUAGUCUUUCUUUAACAAUUACAAGUUAUCUGAAUUCCCUUCAUCCUCCUAUAUAAUAUUGUUUUUGGUCUUGUUCUUGUUGCAUUGUGGCUAGGCAUCUCCAUGGGAGGAAGGAGGAUGAAUCAAGUUCCUUUGUAUGAAUCAAUUUCUCUGCUCUUUUUUUUUUCAAUCCUUGAAUCGAAUCAUUGCUUAGUUCUUGCUUUAAUUUCUCCAUUUUCUGUUGGGUCUUUGAUUGCAGGUUUAGCUCUGCAAGAAAACUGGGAAAUUUAAUUGUGACCUCCAAUCUAAUCGACUCUGCUUUGACUAAAAUUCUUGAGCUUCAAAGAGACCAAACAGCCUUGCCUUCCCCCGUUCAAUACAGAGUUUUUUAUCCAUCUCCCAAGUGCACAAUUGUAGCUUUUGUCUCUUCACCUGACUGCACUCAAAACCCUCUUCCUGGACAAGGAGAUUUAGUUCCCUCUCCUCUCUUUGACUUCCUCUGCACCGAAGAAUACAAGUCCGUCUCCAUUAACAGAGCUGCAUUAACCCUCUUUACCUCUCUCCACGAUCAUCUCUCUGGACUAAAAACUCAGGUCAAAAUAUGAUAGUUGUUUUUAUUUUCGUUUCCUUUUUGUUAACAAUUGUGAGACAUGAAACAGCUUGACCAUGAGAUCUCUCUCAUAGAGUCAAACUAC